Molecule: ribosomal RNA, 468 nt
Filed under: uncultured bacterium
Lineage: Bacteria
Description: partial 16S ribosomal RNA
Rfam family: Bacterial small subunit ribosomal RNA
Source: RNAcentral
GACGAACGCUGGCGGCGCGCCUAACACAUGCAAGUCGAACGGAGUCAAGAGGAGCUUGCUUUUCUUGACUUAGUGGCGAACGGGUGAGUAACGCGUGAGUAACCUGCCCUGGAGUGGGGGACAACAGCUGGAAACGACUGCUAAUACCGCAUAAGCCCACGGAUCUGCAUGGAUCUGCGGGAAAAGGAUUUAUUCGCUCUAGGAUGGACUCGCGUCCAAUUAGCUAGUUGGUGAGGUAACGGCCCACCAAGGCGACGAUGGGUAGCCGGACUGAGAGGUUGGACGGCCACAUUGGGACUGAGACACGGCCCAGACUCCUACGGGAGGCAGCAGUGGGGGAUAUUGCACAAUGGGGGAAACCCUGAUGCAGCGACGCCGCGUGGAGGAAGAAGGUUUUCGGAUUGUAAACUCCUGUCGUUAGGGACGAUAAUGACGGUACCUAACAAGAAAGCACCGGCUAACUACGUG